CAAUCAUAGCCACGAACACCUCCUCUCUCUUCUCUAUCUUCUCACACCAUGCACAUCUCGCUGUCCACCACCGGCCGCCGGAGAAGAGCGGAAGACCGGCGAUUUGGGCGGCGCCCUGUGCAGGCAUGCUGUUCAGCCAGCCGCUCGCGACGCUGGCCAUGUUCAACCUCGAGCAUGGCAGUGGCCCGGACAUCUACGGCAUCUCGGAGAUCGACGGCUUCAACUUGCUAUGCGGCUCGCCGGCGUGAUGCGUGUGCGUUGUCCGGCGUUGUACGUACGUGUGUUGUGUUGGCAUGUUGAUGCAUGCAUGCUUGUGUACUGCCUAUUGAUGUGUGCGUGUGGCUUGGCCGGCGGUAUGUGCGUGCAUGCUUUGGAUUAGAAGCUCGCCGGCUGAUGUGUGUGUACUGACGAGAUGAGCAGCUAGACAACGACAGGUAGACCCGUCCGUCGUCUUGAGCCCCGCCCCUACCGCAAGCGCGACGAGCUCCGGUCAAGAGCGCCGCCGGCGGUGCCUUUUUUUUAUUUCUGUAAAAAAGCUUUAUCGAGUGCACCACUCGGACAAACAUUUGUGACUCCGGGCAAACUGACUGAUUUCCUCCGUUUUCGUUCUCCGUUAGUAGCUUUUUUUACCGAGUUUAAACCUUUGCCGAGCGCCAUGAAAACAAUCGGCAAACUUGUUGCCGAGUGUUCGACAAAUGGUUCUCGGCAAACUUCUGUUCGCCGGAAGGGGGUACGCCGGAUGUCCUUUGCCGAGUGCAACACCUCGGCUAAACCUUUGCCGAGUAUUUUUUGCCCUUUGCUGAGUUUUUCUGGCACUCGGUGAAGGCUUCCAGUACUGUGUAUUUUUUCUACUACUCAGUUCACUUUCUGAUCACUGUUUUUUCUCUCAUGUAGCUCAAAGACCGUCUGGUGCAUGCCCACAGGGAUUGAUGAAGGGGAUCGAUGGUGGUAGCUAGCUAGUGCGGCAAAUACUUCUCAGCCGCUGUAAUUUUCGGGAAGCACUAGGAAUCAGACUACUAUUCCUAGCCAACCAUCAGACUAGCAUGCAGCCGUUGGAUCACAACCUGGUGGACCGUUGGAUAGUACUGAGUUAUUUGGAUUUUGGAAGCAAGUUUGUUGAGAUAUGGAAGCACGUAAUAUAGGGAAACUAAGAAAUACCAGAUAUUUAGGAAACUAAUCGAGGAGUUUCAGGAAAAUAAUUAGCGGGGAAUUAAUGUAGCGUUGAGACUUUCCAAAAGCAUUUUUCUUCCUUAUGAAUCACAGUUUAUUUCCUUACGAAGCACUUCUUGUUUCUAGUAUUCCUUCAAAUUGCGUCGAGCAAAAACAAAAUGUGCUUCGAUCUAAAAGAGAC
RNAcentral lists this ribosomal RNA (1351 nucleotides) under Triticum aestivum (bread wheat). Its description in RNAcentral is "partial small subunit ribosomal RNA". The record is from RNAcentral. Lineage: Eukaryota; Viridiplantae; Streptophyta; Magnoliopsida; Poales; Poaceae.